This 388-nucleotide ribosomal RNA is filed under the name uncultured bacterium. RNAcentral's name for it is "bacterial SSU rRNA". It matches the Rfam family "Archaeal small subunit ribosomal RNA", at positions 338 to 726 of the family's 1478-position model. The record is from RNAcentral.
GGCGCGAAAACUUUACAAUGCUGGCAACAGCGAUAAGGGAACCUCGAGUGCCAGGUUACAAAUCUGGCUGUCGUUGUGUCUAAAAAACACGAUAUAGCAAGGGCCGGGCAAGACCGGUGCCAGCCGCCGCGGUAACACCGGCGGCUCGAGUGGUAACCGUUAUUAUUGGGUCUAAAGGGUCUGUAGCCGGCCGGAUAAGUCUCUUGGGAAAUCCGGCAGCUUAACUGUCGGGCUUUCAGGAGAUACUGUUCGGCUCGAGGCCGGGAGAGGUGAGAAGUACUUCAGGGGUAGGGGUGAAAUCUUGUAAUCCUUGAAGGACCACCAGUGGCGAAGGCGUCUCACCAGAACGGACCUGACGGCAAGGGACGAAAGCUAGGGGCACGAACCG